GUGCUUACUUUGGCGGCACAGAUACUAAAAUUAGAACCAUACAGAGAAGAUUAUCAUGGCCCCGUGCAAGGAUGACACGGAAAUCUGUGAAGCUCUACAUAUUUUU
Octodon degus (degu) is the source of this 106-nucleotide small nuclear RNA. The record is from Ensembl. NCBI's taxonomy places the organism in Eukaryota, Metazoa, Chordata, Mammalia, Rodentia, Octodontidae.